UUUUAUGGAGAGUUUGAUCCUGGCUCAGGAUGAACGCUGGCGGCGUGCCUAAUACAUGCAAGUCGAGCGAACGGACGAGAAGCUUGCUUCUCUGAUGUUAGCGGCGGACGGGUGAGUAACACGUGGAUAACCUACCUAUAAGACUGGGAUAACUUCGGGAAACCGGAGCUAAUACCGGAUAAUAUUUUGAACCGCAUGGUUCAAAAGUGAAAGACGGUCUUGCUGUCACUUAUAGAUGGAUCCGCGCUGCAUUAGCUAGUUGGUAAGGUAACGGCUUACCAAGGCAACGAUGCAUAGCCGACCUGAGAGGGUGAUCGGCCAUACUGGAACUGAGACACGGUCCAGACUCCUACGGGAGGCAGCAGUAGGGAAUCUUCCGCAAUGGGCGAAAGCCUGACGGAGCAACGCCGCGUGAGUGAUGAAGGUCUUCGGAUCGUAAAACUCUGUUAUUAGGGAAGAACAUAUGUGUAAGUAACUGUGCACAUCUUGACGGUACCUAAUCAGAAAGCCACGGCUAACUACGUGCCAGCAGCCGCGGUAAUACGUAGGUGGCAAGCGUUAUCCGGAAUUAUUGGGCGUAAAGCGCGCGUAGGCGGUUUUUUAAGUCUGAUGUGAAAGCCCACGGCUCAACCGUGGAGGGUCAUUGGAAACUGGAAAACUUGAGUGCAGAAGAGGAAAGUGGAAUUCCAUGUGUAGCGGUGAAAUGCGCAGAGAUAUGGAGGAACACCAGUGGCGAAGGCGACUUUCUGGUCUGUAACUGACGCUGAUGUGCGAAAGCGUGGGGAUCAAACAGGAUUAGAUACCCUGGUAGUCCACGCCGUAAACGAUGAGUGCUAAGUGUUAGGGGGUUUCCGCCCCUUAGUGCUGCAGCUAACGCAUUAAGCACUCCGCCUGGGGAGUACGACCGCAAGGUUGAAACUCAAAGGAAUUGACGGGGACCCGCACAAGCGGUGGAGCAUGUGGUUUAAUUCGAAGCAACGCGAAGAACCUUACCAAAUCUUGACAUCCUUUGACAACUCUAGAGAUAGAGCCUUCCCCUUCGGGGGACAAAGUGACAGGUGGUGCAUGGUUGUCGUCAGCUCGUGUCGUGAGAUGUUGGGUUAAGUCCCGCAACGAGCGCAACCCUUAAGCUUAGUUGCCAUCAUUAAGUUGGGCACUCUAAGUUGACUGCCGGUGACAAACCGGAGGAAGGUGGGGAUGACGUCAAAUCAUCAUGCCCCUUAUGAUUUGGGCUACACACGUGCUACAAUGGACAAUACAAAGGGCAGCGAAACCGCGAGGUCAAGCAAAUCCCAUAAAGUUGUUCUCAGUUCGGAUUGUAGUCUGCAACUCGACUACAUGAAGCUGGAAUCGCUAGUAAUCGUAGAUCAGCAUGCUACGGUGAAUACGUUCCCGGGUCUUGUACACACCGCCCGUCACACCACGAGAGUUUGUAACACCCGAAGCCGGUGGAGUAACCUUUUAGGAGCUAGCCGUCGAAGGUGGGACAAAUGAUUGGGGUGAAGUCGUAACAAGGUAGCCGUAUCGGAAGGUGCGGCUGGAUCACCUCCUUUCUAA
This 1557-nucleotide ribosomal RNA is filed under the name Staphylococcus aureus. RNAcentral describes it as "16S ribosomal RNA". It matches the Rfam family "Bacterial small subunit ribosomal RNA". Lineage: Bacteria; Bacillati; Bacillota; Bacilli; Caryophanales; Staphylococcaceae. The record is from RNAcentral.